RNAcentral lists this long non-coding RNA (6776 nucleotides) under Gossypium barbadense (sea-island cotton). RNAcentral describes it as "long non-coding RNA (GBAR_LNC015947)". The record is from RNAcentral. Lineage: Eukaryota; Viridiplantae; Streptophyta; Magnoliopsida; Malvales; Malvaceae.
AACCAUACUUCAAAUUUAGCUCUUUUCUAACUCGGCCCUAUACAUGUCAUAUAAACCAUAAAAUGUAUAACAAAAUCUACUGGAGCAAACUAGAUAGUGUGGCUCUAUGUGUUGAUCCGAUGCUUUAAACUUCUUAAAAAUCUAAAAAGAACAUUAAACGACACAGUAAGUUUAAUGAAGCUUAGCAAGUUCGCUGGCUUUAAAUAUAAAUCUUACCGAACAUACUAUAAUAAUUUAUUUAGGUAAAUUAUUUCACAAACAUUUCCUGCCAAUCACAACUUCAAUUAAUGAAUUCACUCAUUUGAGCUCAAUAUCAAUAAUAACUUAAAUUCUUCCACAUUAAUUCCAUUUGGCACUUACCAAUCAUUAUCAAACCAGAGAACGUCUUACGGAUUUGAGUACAUCGUAAAUAGAAAUCCAUAAGGGUUCAUCUAAAGCUCAAAAGAGUUAAACGGAAACCCAUUAGGGUUAAAUUGAAGCUCAAAAGAGCUAAACUGAAAUCCAGAAGCGUUAAUUUGAAACUCAUGAGUUUACUGAAGCUCGUGAGAGCUAAACGGAAAGCAAAUACGAGAGUUCGCAACAAAUGUUGAACAUCGGUUUACUUGGGUAAUUUUACCGUCAAUUCCUAUUUUGCACUAAACGACUAUACUCAAUCCUACGUUCCAUUCACUUCAAACACUUGAUGCAAUUUCAUAAAUUUAACAAUAAUUUUAUUUUCAACAAAUGUUACGAAUAAAUACAAAAAAUCAUUCAUCAAUUAACAUAUCACAUUAAAUUUUAACCAUUAGAACUUACCUGGGUUAAAUUGUGGAAAUUGUAAUGGUUCAGAGAUUAUUUGGCUAUUUUCCCAUUUUUCGCGUUGGUCUAAGGGCUCUUGAUCUAAAAUAUAAAAUUAUUAAUUCAUUAGCACAUGCUUCAAUUCUAAUUCACUUCACAAUUUAUACCACUCAAUUUUUGAAAUUAUACAAUUACCUCAACUUUUACAGUUUUUGUAAUUUAGUCCAUCGCCAAUUAACUCAUCAAAUAAGCUAAUUUUUCUCAAGUAACACUUUAUCUAAAUAUUUUAAACUAUUACACAGCCUUUGAUAAACAUAAUUUAAUACUAAACCCUAAGAUUUAAUUUUUUUACAAUUUGGUCCUAAAAUCAAUUUCCCUUGAAAGCACUUGAUAAAAUCAUCAUAUAACAAAAUUAAAACUUCAAAUCCAUGUUAAUUCAUCAUAAAAAUGCAGCACUCAUCAAUGGUAGCUUUCAAGAUUACUCAUAAAAUCAAAAACUAAUGAAUUAGAUAGUUAGACCUAAUUACAGAAGUCUUAAAAACACAAAUUUUAAGAAAAGAGCAAGAAUUGAACUCACAUGUAGCAAAAUAUGAAAUCCAACUUCUUAAGGGUUCUUCAAUGGUGUUUUUAGCUGAUAAAUUGAAGAAGAAUAACUUAGAAAAGUUGAGAAUUCAAUUUAUUUAAGUUUAUUUCACAAAAUUUACAAUUUUGCCCUUUAAUCACAUGAUUUUUGUUUUCUUUUCUGCUUAUGCCGCCUCAGGCCUUUGUUUUAGGCAUAAUUGCUCCUUAAGUCCUUCUUUGUUCAUUAAUUAAGUCAUUUAAUCAUUAUUUCUUUAAUUAGCAAGUUUUGCACCUUUUUCUAAUUUAAUCUUUUUUAAUUAAUUAACUAUCGAAACGUUAAAAUUUUCUAACGAAAUAUUUAUAAAAAUAUUUACAGCUCAGUUUAUAAAAUCGAGAUCUUGAUACCUCGUUUUCAAAACUAGUUAAUCUAACAAAUAUUUCUAAAGCAUAAAUCACUAAUUCAUAAGCCUUCUUAAAUUCAGAAUCGAAUCAAAAACACUAUAUAAUAAAAUUUAUGAAUUAAUUUAUCGGAUUUAGUGUUCUCAAACUACUAUUUUCGAAACUACUGAAAAUUGGACUGUUACAAAAACUCUAUAAAAAUACGGAAAGGAGAAAUUUUGAGGUUUCAUAAUCUGUUUGCAUAAAUCAAUGAGCAAAUUCAGAAUUUAUUUCCAAUUAUUCCCUCUCAACAAAAGGAAUGGUGAAUGUCUAGUUGACUUCAAGCCCAAUAAAUAUGGGUGAAAUGGGUCGAGCUUACAACGAAGCUAGGAACAUCUUUGAUGCGAAUAUGGCAAUUUAUGAGGAGGAGAAUAACCCAAUAAAAUAAAGUGAUGGGCUAAAAAGACCUUUUUUUAAGUCUACUUCAGGAGUUUCUAAUAAGGAAGAUUUGAAUGAAGUUUCGGGUACUCUAUUACAGGUACCAAAUUCUAGUAGAUCGCCAGGCCCUGCUAAGUGGGCUAGUCGGAUGCAAUGAAGCUGUUGAGUUGGAACAUUCAGGUAAAGGGGAGGUCUUGGACAGUUUGUUGUCUCCAGCAUAUGCUGAGAGAUAUAAAUCUCUCUAUAGUGUUCCUAAUUGAGAUGAAACUAUAGGGUUUUAAUAUGGAAGGAACAAGACGCAAAUGUGGAUUUCUUAAUGGGAUGGAUGUUGAUUCAUAUGGUAGAAGUGAGGGUUUAUCAAUGGGUUGGAGUAGCGAUUAUAAGAUUUGUCUUCGGUCUUUUUCGAGAAGGGACAUUGGCAUUAUGAUUGAUAAGGAUACUGAUGGUAAAACUUGGUGAUGUACGGGGUUUUAUGAAGUGCCCGAGGAGAAUCUGAGGAGGCAUCGUAAAAUUUAUUGCAUUCUUUAGAUGACUGCCCACAUAUCCCUAUGUUUGUAAUAGGGGAUUUUAAUGAAAUAGCUUAUUCAUCUGAAAAGAAAGGUGGAUUACUUCAGAGGGAGAGACAAAUGAGAAGAUUUUGGGAAGCUCUUUAUGAUUGCUCUCUUACAGAUUUGGGCUAUAGAGGACAAUGGUUUACCUGGGAAAAAGGUCGUACUCGAGCAAACAAUAUUAGGAAACGUUUGGAUCAAAGGGUAGCUAAUGCAGUUUGAUGGGAUUUAUUUCAAAAUUACAAAAUGCAUCAUCUCACGCAUUCUUUUUUAUUGCAAUCAGAUUUUGAAAAUAAUCAUGCGAAAUGGUGUCACUUCAAGUUCGAGGUUGCGUGGCUUUUGGAAGAAACGUGUGAGUCAAAUGUUCUAAAAUUAUAGACUGAAAAUUUGGGUGAUGUCCUUAAUAGAUUGAAGGUGUUUGGUGUGGGCCUUAAAGCGUGGUUCAAAAGGAUUAAAAAGAUAGGGGUUUGUCGAAAAAAGAUCUUAAGAAGCAAUUCAUUAAGUUGAACAAAUCAUACCUAACUGAUGAGGUGUUGGGUGAUAUUGUUGAGAUAAAACUAGCCCUUAAUAUGGAGGCCGGUAGGGAGGAACUCUACUGGGAACAAAGAGCCAGAGCUAAUUGGAUGAAAAAUGGUGACCGAAACACAAAAAUUGCAACAAAAAGAAGACGAAGGAAUAUGAUGGAUAAACUACUAGAUUUUGAUGAAAAUUAUUAUAAGAGCAAUGAGGAGCAGUUGUCACUUGCCACUGACUACUUUGCCUCUCUAUUCACUUCAACUAGAAUCGAAAAUCCAGGUUCUAUAUUAGAAGGGGUUGAGCCGUGCAUUACUCGAGCAAUGAACGAGGAACUUGCAAAGGAUUUUUCUUACGAGGAUAUUUGUAUGGCGUUAAAAUCAUGAAUACAUUAAAGACUUCUGGUGAGGAUGACUUGGGUGCAAUUUUUUAUCAAUGGUUUUGGCAUAUUAUGGGUAAAGAGGUAGCAAAUUAUUGUAUUGAGAUUUUAAAUGGAGGCACAAUAUCGCUGAAAUCAACCAGACACAAAUUGUUUUAAUCCCUAAGGUUAGCUGUCCAUGAAUUAUGGCUCUAUUUAAACCGAUUAGCCGUUAUAAUACCCUUUACAAAAUUAUUGCAAAAAUGCUAGUGAAUAGGUUUUAAAAAGUCUUUCACUAUUGUAUAGAUGAGGUACAAAGUGCAUUUGUACCAGGGAGGCUUAUCACUGAUAAUAUUUUAGUUGUCUAUGACGUUUUACACUCCAUGAAAAAGAAAAAGAAAAAGAUAAGAGAUGAAGGGUCUUUUGCUUUGAAGCUUAACAUGAGUAAAACGUAUAAUAGACUAAAGUGUGCGCUCAUUAAUGUCAUGCUUAGCCGAAUGAGUUUCUCGAAGUUGUGGGUUCAGAAAAUUAUGAGAUGUAUUGAAAUGAUUUCUUAUUCUGUGGUUAUGAGCGGAGAGGUGGGUAAUUUGUUUCUUCCUUAUCGGGGGCUUAAACAAGGGGGCCCACUUAAUCCUUAUUUAUUUCUUAUUUGGGGAAGGUCUGUCAUCUUUUCUUAGAAUGGCUGCUACAAGUGGGGAUCUCAAGGGUGCUUGCAUUAAGAGACACGCUCCAGUUAGCACCCACUUGUUAUCUUUGCAAAUGACAGUCUUAUCUUUGGAAAGGCCACAACAGAUGGGGCUAUGGUGCUUAAUGAAAGACUGGAGAUUUAUGCCAAUAGUUUGGGUCAAUUAAUAAUUUUUGAUAAGUCUGGUAUGUUUUUAGUUCCAAUGUUGAGUAGAAUAGCAAAAAAGAGGUUUAUCGAAUUUUAGGGGUUAAUCCAAACAUUAAUCCAGAAAAGUAUAUUGGUCUCCUUUAAAUCGUGGGGCAAAACAAAAAGAGGGCUUUUAGGGAGAUAAAAGAAAAUCUAAUUAAAAGAGUGUUUAGUUAGAGUUCGAGAAUGCUUUCGGUGGGUAUAAAAGAGGCCCUUAUCAAAAUAGUAUUUCAGGGAGUUCCCAUGUAUACCAUUUCUUAUUUCUUGAUGCCCAAUUCCUUUUGUAAGGAACUUGAAACUGUUAUUGCUAGAUUUUGGUGACAGAAGAAAGCUGGGAGGAAUGGUUUACAUUGGAGUUCUUGGAAACCAUUGUGUAUUCCAAAAGAGGAUAAAGGUAUGGGUUUCCGUAAUCUUUCUAAAUUUAAUAUUUCUUUAUUAGCAAAACAAUGUUAGAGAUUGAUGGAAAAUCCAGGCUCGUUAACAAGAUUAAUUCGAGAAAAAUAUUAUCACGGUUUAAAUUUUCUAGAAGCCCCAUUGGGCUCAUACCCGUCCCUAAUUUGGAAAAGUAUAUGGUGUUCCAAAGCUUUGUUAAAAUCUGGUAUUGGAUGAAGGAUUGGUUCUGGGCUAUCUAUCUUGAUAUGGCAAGACUAUUGGUUACCGAGGAAGAAUAGAGCACUAAUUACUACAAACAAGGUAGCAAGAUUGGAAUGUGUAAGUGAUUUGAUUCUCCCAAACCCAAAUAGAAGAGAUCGACAAUUAAUCUACUCAACUUUCACGGAGGAAGAAGGAAAUUUGAUUGUAAGAAUCCCUAUACCUAUCACUAAUCAAUCUGAUAAAGUAAUAUGGUCUAGAGAAAAAUCAGGUUUUUAUUCAGUAAAAAGCAGUCACAAAGCCUUCAUCGAACUUCUCAUUUGAGUACUAUUGAGCAAUAUAAUUUUAAGCAAAUUUGGAGUUUAACGUGCCUAUCAAAAAUUCACAUUUUAAUGUGAAAAUUUGCAAAUAUAUAUAUUCCUACUUUCCAGAAUUUGCAUUAUAGAAGAAUUUUGUCAGAGAAUAGUUACCCGCGCUGUCAGGAUUGUAGUAAAUCACAUGUUCAUGUUGCUCGAUACUGUGCAUUCACUAUGCAUGUUUGAUCAAAAUUAAAUUAUCAGUGGCCAAGUUCAAUGCGUCUAUGAGUUUUAACAACUGGUUAAACUGGCUAUUCAUAAAUUCAUCCAGUAACAGUAAAGGGGAAAUAGCCAUUACAAUUUGGGCAAUCUGAUUUUCCCGCAACAAACUGAUACAUGAAAGAAAAGUACAAAGUGUGGAGGAAGUUGUUACCUUUAUCAGGGGUUAUGGCAGGGAGUACAAGAGGCGUUUUGGAAUAUUACAACACCCCUGACCCAGAUAGUUGAUAAAAUGGGAGCCCCCCCUACGAAUUGGGUCAAAGUGAAUGUUGACGUCGGUUUCUCAGAGGCAAAACAACAUGCAACAUUGGGUUUCUUAAUUAGAAAUGAUGAAGGUCUUAAAAUAGGGUCGGGAAUCAGAACUCAUAACCUAGUUAGAUCGGUGGUGUUGGCUAAAGCGAUGGCUGCUCUUCACGGGCUCUAGUUUGCGUUGGAGAUGGGUUUCACGAAAAUUAUUUUGGAAAGUGACUCUAAAACAAUUAUUAAAAACCUCCAAGCAACAAAGGAAGACUAUUCAGAGAUAAGACCGAUUACUUGGGAUGUGAAGGCUCUUACAAUGAAAUUUUCUUCAUGUCAUUUUGAGUUCGUUGCGGGAGAAGGUAACGCAGUGGCGCAUGCGAUGGCGGUCGAAGGGAUGAGAAGAUCAGAAGACUCGUUCUGGGUUGAAGAUGCCCUAUUAAAAGCGAUGGAAAUGGCAGAUUUGGAUCGUCUUUUCAUCUGGCCACCAUAAUUUCCCUCCUCUGCUGCUCGCUGCUCUGGGUUGAGAACUUCUGAUAUUCUAAAGGUAUAUCUCAACUCCCUUCCAUUGUUUGCUAGUUCUGAUUACCAGAUCUCGCAAGGUUUUGGCUGUUUGGGUUUUCUGGUCACUGAAGGGUUUGGAAGAAGCUUCUAGAGUUGCAUCAUGUUUUAUUUUCUUUAUUUUAUCUGUUUGAACUUCAUUUUCUAUCUGCUUUUGUUUUGGACUUCCAAGCCCAUUUUAAUCAAAAUGAACCGUUUAUUCAAAAAAAAAAAUAACUUUUUGACAAAAAAAAUACUUUUAAGCAAAAGCUAAAAAUUUUUAGUUUUGCUUUUGAUAAAAAAAAUAAUUUUGUAAAAUAUUUUUUUAUCUCAAAAAUAUUUUUAAAAAGCUCAAAAGUAUAUUGUUUAGUAAUAUUUUCAAAUCAAAA